Pelobates cultripes (western spadefoot toad) is the source of this 567-nucleotide non-coding RNA. Lineage: Eukaryota; Metazoa; Chordata; Amphibia; Anura; Pelobatidae. The record is from the annotation of a GenBank genome assembly.
GUGCAUCCUUCGGCAAAUUAGGCCCCCACGGGCCAUGUGAUUGCUCUGAAAGAUGUACAGGUUUUCUAGUGUUUUUGAAAAUUACUGGGUCAAAUAUAAGGCUUGAUUUUCUGUUCUUUUCACAUUGAAAUUUGCCAGAUUGGUUGUUUGGCCUUUGAGAGCAUAUGGUAGCCCAGGAAUGAGAAUUGCCCCCAUAAUAACAUACCAUUUGCAAAAGAAGACAACCCAAGGUAUUGCAACUGGGGUAUGUCCAGUCUUUUUUAGUAGCCACUUAGUCACAAACACUGGCCAAAGUUAGCGUUCAUCAUUGUUUUUUGCAUUUUUAACACACAGCCAAAUAUGAAUGCUAACUUUAGCCAGUGUUUGUGACUAAGUGGCUACGAUAUGAUGAAAAUAAUGGUAUCUUUAGAAAGACCAUUUAAUGGCAAGAAAAACUGGUAUAUAAUUUGUGUGGGUACAGUAAACGAGUAAGAGGAUACUUACAGCUAAACACUAACACCGCAGAAAUGUAAAAACAGCCCUGGUCCUUAAUGGUAAGAAAAUUUAAAAACCGUCUGGUCACUAAGG